GACCGGGUGCGUAGCGGGGGCAAUCUGCCCUUCACUCUGGGACACCCUGAUAAACGGGUAAUACCGGAUACCCCUCUGGCCCCGGGGGGGUUAAAAUUCCGGUGGAGGAUGAUGAACCCGCGGACUAUCCGCUUGUUGGUGGGGUAAUGGCCUACCCGGCGACCACGGGCAGCCGGCCUGAGAGGGCGACCGGCCACGCUGGGACUGAUACACGGGCCCUACUCCUACGGGAGGNCUCAUUGGGGAAUAUUGCACAAUGGGCGAAAGCCUGAUGCAGCCACACCGCGUGAGGGAUGACGGCCUUCGAGUUGUAUACCUCUUUCAAACUGGAAGAAUGACGGUACCUGCCGAAGAAGCCCCUGAU
Molecule: ribosomal RNA, 364 nt
Filed under: Streptomyces praecox
Lineage: Bacteria; Bacillati; Actinomycetota; Actinomycetes; Kitasatosporales; Streptomycetaceae
Description: bacterial SSU rRNA
Rfam family: Bacterial small subunit ribosomal RNA
Source: RNAcentral